CAGCCGCCGCGGGAAUACGUAGGUGGCAAGCGUUGUCCGGAAUUAUUGGGGGUAAAGCGCGCGCAGGCGGAUCGGUCAGUCUGUCUUAAAAGUUCGGGGCUUAACCCCGUGAUGGGAUGGAAACUGCCAAUCUAGAGUAUCGGAGAGAAAAGUGGAAUUCCUAGUGUAGCGGUGAAAUGCGUAGAGAUUAGGAAGAACACCGGUGGCGAAGGCGACUUUCUGGACGAAAACUGACGCUGAGGCGCGAAAGCGUGGGGAGCAAACAGGAUUAGAGACCCCUGUAGUCCCUGUCUCUUAUACA
RNAcentral lists this ribosomal RNA (301 nucleotides) under uncultured bacterium. RNAcentral describes it as "partial 16S ribosomal RNA". It matches the Rfam family "Bacterial small subunit ribosomal RNA", at positions 509 to 808 of the family's 1533-position model. The record is from RNAcentral.